This 253-nucleotide ribosomal RNA is filed under the name uncultured bacterium. Its description in RNAcentral is "partial 16S ribosomal RNA". It matches the Rfam family "Bacterial small subunit ribosomal RNA", at positions 524 to 776 of the family's 1533-position model. The record is from RNAcentral.
UACGUAGGGUGCGAGCGUUAAUCGGAAUUACUGGGCGUAAAGCGUGCGCAGGCGGCUUUGCAAGACAGAUGUGAAAUCCCCGGGCUCAACCUGGGAACCGCAUUUGUGACUGCAAGGCUAGAGUACGGCAGAGGGGGAUGGAAUUCCGCGUGUAGCAGUGAAAUGCGUAGAUAUGCGGAGGAACACCAAUGGCGAAGGCAAUCCCCUGGGCCUGUACUGACGCUCAUGCGCGAAAGCGUGGGGAGCAAACAGG